UGCCCAGCUUGCUGGGUGGAUUAGUGGCGAACGGGUGAGUAACACGUGAGUAACCUGCCCCUGACUUCGGGAUAACUACGAGAAAUCGUGGCUAAUACCGGAUAUGCACAUGUGCCUGCAUGGGUGUGUGUGGAAAGAUUUAUCGGUUGGGGAUGGGCUCGCGGCCUAUCAGCUUGUUGGUGGGGUGAUGGCCUACCAAGGCGACGACGGGUAGCCGGCCUGAGAGGGUGACCGGCCACACUGGGACUGAGACACGGCCCAGACUCCUACGGGAGGCAGCAGUGGGGAAUAUUGCACAAUGGGCGAAAGCCUGAUGCAGCGACGCCGCGUGAGGGAUGACGGCCUUCGGGUUGUAAACCUCUUUCAGUAGGGAAGAAGCUCUUCGGAGUGACGGUACCUGCAGAAGAAGCGCCGGCUAACUACGUGCCAGCAGCCGCGGUAAUACGUAGGGCGCAAGCGUUGUCCGGAAUUAUUGGGCGUAAAGAGCUCGUAGGCGGUUUGUCGCGUCUGCUGUGAAAACGCAAGGCUUAACCUUGCGCCUGCAGUGGGUACGGGCAGACUAGAGUGCGGUAGGGGAGACUGGAAUUCCUGGUGUAGCGGUGGAAUGCGCAGAUAUCAGGAGGAACACCGAUGGCGAAGGCAGGUCUCUGGGCCGUUACUGACGCUGAGGAGCGAAAGCAUGGGGAGCGAACAGGAUUAGAUACCCUGGUAGUCCAUGCCGUAAACGUUGGGCACUAGGUGUGGGAUCCAUUCCACGGGUUCCGUGCCGCAGCUAACGCAUUAAGUGCCCCGCCUGGGGAGUACGGCCGCAAGGCUAAAACUCAAAGGAAUUGACGGGGGCCCGCACAAGCGGCGGAGCAUGCGGAUUAAUUCGAUGCAACGCGAAGAACCUUACCAAGGCUUGACAUACACCGGAAAAGUGCAGAGAUGUGCUCCCCGUAAGGUCGGUGUACAGGUGGUGCAUGGUUGUCGUCAGCUCGUGUCGUGAGAUGUUGGGUUAAGUCCCGCAACGAGCGCAACCCUUGUCCUGUGUUGCCAGCGGGUUAUGCCGGGGACUCAUGGGAGACUGCCGGGGUCAACUCGGAGGAAGGUGGGGAUGACGUCAAAUCAUCAUGCCCCUUAUGUCUUGGGCUUCACGCAUGCUACAAUGGCCGGUACAAAGGGCUGCGAUACCGCGAGGUGGAGCGAAUCCCAAAAAGCCGGUCUCAGUUCGGAUUGGGGUCUGCAACUCGACCCCAUGAAGUCGGAGUCGCUAGUAAUCGCAGAUCAGCAACGCUGCGGUGAAUACGUUCUCGGGCCUUGUACACACCGCCCGUCACGUCAUGAAAGUCGGUAACACCCGAAGCC
This 1347-nucleotide ribosomal RNA is filed under the name Georgenia sp. T04-04. Its description in RNAcentral is "bacterial SSU rRNA". It matches the Rfam family "Bacterial small subunit ribosomal RNA", at positions 72 to 1428 of the family's 1533-position model. The record is from RNAcentral. Lineage: Bacteria; Bacillati; Actinomycetota; Actinomycetes; Allobogoriellales; Allobogoriellaceae.